Molecule: ribosomal RNA, 314 nt
Filed under: uncultured eukaryote
Lineage: Eukaryota
Description: partial 18S ribosomal RNA
Rfam family: Eukaryotic small subunit ribosomal RNA
Source: RNAcentral
CCCUUAGAUGUUCUGGGCUGCACGCGCGCUACACUGACACUAUCAACGAGUGCUCCUGGUUUGAAAGGAUCGGGUAAUCUUUUGAAAUGGUGUCGUGAUGGGGAUAGAUCAUUGCAAUUAUUGAUCUUGAACGAGGAAUUCCUAGUAAAUGUGAGUCAUCAGCUCACGUUGAUUACGUCCCUGCCCUUUGUACACACCGCCCGUCGCUCCUACCGAUUGAGUGAACCGAUGAGUUGUCCGGAUUGCGAUCGACCUCGGUUAAUCGCGAGAAGUUCCGCAAAUCACUUCACUUAGAGGAAGGAGAAGUCGUAACA